GCUAGCGAGCUAUGAAUUGCUUUUGUUGUUGAUACAAGUUUGUUUCUACGUUACUUUGGAGACAUGUUUGUAUGUUGCUAUAUUCAACUGUUGAAAUUGUUUACGUCGUCAAUUAAAAUAAAGAAUUUAGUACAGUUGUUCGAGCAACAUCGAACAGAACAGUCGCUAAUCUAACAUCAUGUUAUCAAAAUACCAUCGAUGAAGCCCUUGGACCACCUAAAGACAAUUUUCCAUUUAUGUUGAAGAUGUGUUGUGUCCUGCCCGAACCAUUCAAGAAUUUCUUAAGCACUUAAGAACGGACUGGCUGGCUAUUUUAGACAUUUUUGAAAAACUUUGCAUGCAAUAUCCACACUGUUGCAUAAGGAAAAAUCUUAUGAGUGGACAAGUGGAACGCGUUAUGAGAAGAUUACCGGUGUAAGGUGAAUCUUUGCAAAACUGCAGAAGGUGCGAGGACGCCCCAACGUCAGGAAGGCCCAGUGUUAGUUUACGUCAUGAUCUUCACCGAUGGACCGAUGCUCAUCUAUUAAAAGAAACAAGCCAGUGACCUAAGAAGUGCUUUUGUUAAGAAAUUUGAUUUUCAAUGGACAGUAGGUGUUAUUUGAUUUGGAGGUAUAUAGGUAUGUGUAGAAAUUUAUGUCUAUUUUCAAACCUCACAGAAUCUAUACUACUGAAAAAAAACGCGUGACAAUUGCUGGGGAACUUUUUAACAAGAGAAAUGUUUUCAGAUAUUUUUUGAAUAUCCUUUCCUCAGCUAAUCUUAUUGGCACUGAUUUGGUUGCUUGCUUCUUGGUCACUUUUAUUAUAUUAUCAUUAUACAAGCAACCAAAUUGUGUACAUUGUGUUCAGAACGUCUGACAACAUUUCACCAUCAGUCAAAACCAUUAUCCAAGUUGACAACAAACUUUACCUUUUCAAAAAGUAAUUUGUCCAAGAAUUCUACUAUUUCUUUGUCAUUCAAAUAUUUGCUAAGGUUCUUAAACUCCUUUUUAAUAAGUGUGCCACCCUCUUCUGCCAAAAAAAUGAAUCCACAUUUCUCACAUAUCUUUUGGAAAUAUCAGCUUCACCAACGAUGUCGAUAAAUUUAACGUGAAGUGUGGUGUCAAUAAUAUUUUUCAAUUUUGCACGUAAUAUUAUUGAUGAAUUCGUUUACUUUGGUGCAAUUAUCAUUUGACUAAUUUGGGAAUAUCCAUAUAUGAUUUCUCUAUUUCUACCGGACGCUCUAUUUUGUUAUCUCCACAUCUUCCACUGGGGGCACAACUUUUUCAAUUUCAUCUUCCUCCGGAUAGUUUGAGUGAUGAGACUGUUUGAAUUUGGGCAUCUUAUUCCUGUUUUUAUACAUUUUGGAAACGACUCUGCUGAAACCGAUUGUAGUUAAUUAGCACUAUUAAAAAUGCAUACGUCAAUAUAAAUGUGGAUAAAAUCAUACAAUGAAUACUUUCCCUUGGGCGGCAAUUAAGCAUAUUUUCAUUAUAUCUGUAUUAAAUAUUUAAA
This is a long non-coding RNA of Aethina tumida (small hive beetle), 1491 nucleotides long. RefSeq lists it as uncharacterized. The record is from RefSeq and is a predicted model, not a curated record. The transcript has 2 exons. NCBI's taxonomy places the organism in Eukaryota, Metazoa, Arthropoda, Insecta, Coleoptera, Nitidulidae.